UGUUAAUAGUAGUUUUGCUCUUUUCUUCGGUAGUGGCAGGGUCUUGACUGCUGUUUUUUUAGAAGAUGAAGAGUCUGUCUUUUGAAUGUAUGUGGAACUUUUUCUUUAGUCAAAGUGACAAACAGAGGGUGUGAUUUGUACUUUGGCCCUAAUUAUGUAUUUAGAUCCCAAUCACUCCCUGUUAUGUGACCUAACCCUGGACUGUGACAUACACUUACGAUACAGAUGUUAUUUGAUGGAUUUGUGUGUGGAGGGUGCUUAAAUAUUCAAGCUUGACUGUAACUUUUAUGUGCUUUUUAAAAUAUUUUUAAUCAUUAUCUGCACUUUGUUUUCCAAGUACUUCUUUUAGUGAUUUAGCAAUGAUUUUUUUUCUGAAAAGACUGCCUGCAGAAAGAUCAAAUGUAACUCUUCAGAAGACUAUGUUCAGCAGAUGUUAAUUGCCUAUUUUUUAAAGAAAAAACCAGACACCAACCAGUUGAAAUACUAAAAGAAAGAAUUUAAGAGUGAUUAUAUGAGUACCAUCUUAACAGCCCAUUUUAAUCAAGAACUCACAAAAGGAGUCUUAAAGGUGAGAAUUCAAGGUAAUUUUCCCAAUGGAGGUUAGGAAAUAAAAACAAAUUUUCUGGAAAACUAUUAAGAUAAGAAUUGUGGAAGUGUGGGAAGCUCACAGGAAAUUUUUGUUGUCAAGCUCUGGAAAAGCUUAUUUCUUCAACAGAAUGAGUGUGUGUGAGAUACGCACGUGGUUAGAGCCGGAAGGGGCAGUUAAGAAGGAAGCAAAAUUACAAUUAAAAUAUGAUGUGCUACUGCAACUUACCUGAUAAACACCACUUGGCAAAUCAAAACAGUUGGUGCAUGCUGAGACUUGAAUUUCUUUUUUUUUCAGAGAAAGUACAAUUAAAUAUUACAUGAAGACCUAUCAAAUGUAUUUCAUAAGAACAGUGUGCAGGUACUGUGGGUUUUGCUUUAUUGUAAGCAUUUUAAAGGGCUGACUUUGAAGCAGCGAAUGGACACGUGUGUUCUUGUUCUGUGGUGUUUGAGCCUUUCAGUGUCUUCGAUUUAUGUUCUCUC
Molecule: long non-coding RNA, 1068 nt
Organism: Harpia harpyja (harpy eagle)
Lineage: Eukaryota; Metazoa; Chordata; Aves; Accipitriformes; Accipitridae
Exons: 3
Source: RefSeq, a predicted model, not a curated record